Molecule: ribosomal RNA, 437 nt
Filed under: uncultured bacterium
Lineage: Bacteria
Description: partial 16S ribosomal RNA
Rfam family: Bacterial small subunit ribosomal RNA
Source: RNAcentral
GAUGAACGCUGGCGGCAUGCCUAACACAUGCAAGUCGGACGGGCAGUGGUGUUUCCUGUGGCGGUCGUGUUAGUAACGCGCAAGAACCUGCCCUUGGGAUGGGCACACCAGCUGGAAACGGCUACUAAUACACCGCAGGCCGAAGAGCAAAAGGAGUAAUCCGCCUGAGGGGUGGUACGUGUAUGAUUAGCUAGCUGUUGGUGCAAUAGCUGACCAAGGCGAUGGACAGUAGUUGGUCCGAGAGGAUGAUCAGCCACACUGGGACGGAGACCCGGCGCAGGCACCUUCGGGAGGCAGGCGAGAGGAAGAUGCAGCAAUGGGGGAUAGGCUAAGAGAGCCAUGCGGCGUGGAGGUAGUGGGACUACGGAUCGUGAACUUCGUUACCCGGAGAGGACGCAAUGACGGUAUCUAGGGAAAAAGCAUCGGCUAACUAUGUG